AGAGUUUGAUCAUGGCUCAGGAUGAACGCUGGCGGCGUGCUUAACACAUGCAAGUCGAACGAACCUUCGGGUUAGUGGCGGACGGGUGAGUAACGCGUGAGAAUCUGCCCUCAGGAGGGGGAUAACGGUUGGAAACGACCGCUAAUACCCCAUAUGCCGAGAGGUGAAAUGAAAUUCGCCUGAGGAUGAGCUCGCGUCUGAUUAGCUAGUUGGUAGGGUAAAGGCCUACCAAGGCAUUGAUCAGUAGCUGGUCUGAGAGGAUGAUCAGCCACACUGGGACUGAGACACGGCCCAGACUCCUACGGGAGGCAGCAGUGGGGAAUUUUCCGCAAUGGGCGCAAGCCUGACGGAGCAACGCCGCGUGAGGGAUGAAGGCCUCUGGGCUGUAAACCCCUUUUAUCAAGGAAGAAGAACUGACGGUACUUGAUGAAUAAGCCACGGCUAAUUCCGUGCCAGCAGCCGCGGUAAUACGGGAGUGGCAAGCGUUAUCCGGAAUUAUUGGGCGUAAAGCGUCCGCAGGCGGUUUUACAAGUCUGUCGUUAAAGCGUGGAGCUCAACUCCAUUUCAGCGAUGGAAACUGUAAGACUCGAGUGUGGUAGGGGCAGAGGGAAUUCCCGGUGUAGCGGUGAAAUGCGUAGAUAUCGGGAAGAACACCAGUGGCGAAAGCGCUCUGCUGGGCCAUAACUGACGCUCAUGGACGAAAGCCAGGGGAGCGAAAGGGAUUAGAUACCCCUGUAGUCCUGGCCGUAAACGAUGAACACUAGGUGUCGGGGGAAUCGACCCCCUCGGUGUCGUAGCCAACGCGUUAAGUGUUCCGCCUGGGGAGUACGCACGCAAGUGUGAAACUCAAAGGAAUUGACGGGGGCCCGCACAAGCGGUGGAGUAUGUGGGUUUAAUUCGAUGCAACGCGAAGAACC
This 917-nucleotide ribosomal RNA is filed under the name uncultured bacterium. RNAcentral's name for it is "bacterial SSU rRNA". It matches the Rfam family "Bacterial small subunit ribosomal RNA", at positions 8 to 970 of the family's 1533-position model. The record is from RNAcentral.